CGACCUGAGCUCAGGCAAGAUUACCCGCUGAACUUAAGCAUAUCAAUAAGCGGAGGA
RNAcentral lists this ribosomal RNA (57 nucleotides) under Chromochloris zofingiensis. RNAcentral's name for it is "partial 26S ribosomal RNA". It matches the Rfam family "Eukaryotic large subunit ribosomal RNA", at positions 1 to 57 of the family's 3401-position model. RNAcentral also lists the same sequence under 4 other names. The record is from RNAcentral. Lineage: Eukaryota; Viridiplantae; Chlorophyta; Chlorophyceae; Sphaeropleales; Chromochloridaceae.